GCCUUCGUGCUGUAGUGGUCAGCACGCUCGACGCAUAACCGAGAUGUCCGUGGUUCGAUUCCCGGCGAAGGUG
This is a non-coding RNA of Stegodyphus mimosarum, 73 nucleotides long. NCBI's taxonomy places the organism in Eukaryota, Metazoa, Arthropoda, Arachnida, Araneae, Eresidae. The record is from Rfam.